This 253-nucleotide ribosomal RNA is filed under the name uncultured bacterium. RNAcentral describes it as "partial 16S ribosomal RNA". It matches the Rfam family "Bacterial small subunit ribosomal RNA", at positions 524 to 776 of the family's 1533-position model. The record is from RNAcentral.
UACGUAGGGCGCAAGCGUUAUCCGGAAUUAUUGGGCGUAAAGAGCUCGUAGGCGGUUUGUCGCGUCUGCCGUGAAAGUCCGAGGCUCAACCUCGGAUCUGCGGUGGGUACGGGCAGACUAGAGUGAUGUAGGGGAGACUGGAAUUCCUGGUGUAGCGGUGAAAUGCGCAGAUAUCAGGAGGAACACCGGUGGCGAAGGCGGGUCUCUGGGCCGUAACUGACGCUGAGGAGCGAAAGCGUGGGGAGCGAACAGG